RNAcentral lists this ribosomal RNA (315 nucleotides) under Triticum aestivum (bread wheat). RNAcentral's name for it is "partial small subunit ribosomal RNA". The record is from RNAcentral. Lineage: Eukaryota; Viridiplantae; Streptophyta; Magnoliopsida; Poales; Poaceae.
AUGAACCCCAAGUGGUGUGAGUGGACUAUGCUUGAUCAGAUCACAUCCACCCUAGGGGUGCUGCUGGAUGUUGACUGGCAGCACAACUUCAAAUCCUUCUAUGAAACUGUUAGGGUGAAGAUCUCCUGCAAGGACCCCACAAAAAUCCCCACAGAAAGACUCUUUGGGAUCAAAGGCAAGAUCUACAGGCUGCUGAUUGAGAUUGAGCCAGCCUUGCCAUAUGCAGAGACAGUGAUAGUAACCAACCCCUCUUUAGACCAAUGUUGGGGAUAUCGCUUAUCAGGAACUUAUCGUUCGACCCAUGAUAAGGGGUAA